This is a long non-coding RNA of Glycine soja, 973 nucleotides long. RefSeq lists it as uncharacterized. Lineage: Eukaryota; Viridiplantae; Streptophyta; Magnoliopsida; Fabales; Fabaceae. The transcript is spliced from 3 exons. The record is from RefSeq and is a predicted model, not a curated record.
GUCAAAACAACACGAUCCAUUUGUUCCCGGUCAUAAUCAUCACCCAGAGAAGGAUCAACAAGGUCCUUAAUGUUAUUGGCUUCAAAUAAAGGCUUGGCCUACAACACAAGAAAUCACAAUGUGCUAAGGCCUCUAAGAUGAUCCAAAGCAUGACGCCCGGUUAUAAUCUCCAAAAGCAAGACCCCAAAGGAAUAAAUAUCAGUUUUCUCGCUUACUAUGCCGUGCAUAAAAUAUUCAGGAGCUAAAUACCUGUCAAUUAAAUGAUCAUGGGUAAACAUUAGAUCAUGAGAACAAACAAUUCUCUAACUAUAGUUUUAGUAGUUUAUCAUAUGUAUAUAUAUUUGCUUACCCCAUUGUGCCUUCAAAUUUUGAUACAUUACGGUGAGUACACAGUUCUGGUAACCAUUUUGCAAGCCCAAAAUCACAAAUCUGGAGAAAUUCUCAAUUAGUAAAAUGGUGAUAUAUCAGAUGAAAUAUAAGUCUCGAACUUAUACUCUAUUAGCAGGGGAUCCAGAAGCAAAGCUUUAAAAUCCACAUCACUAGGUUUCAGCUUCUUUCACCAGCAGAAUAUGUAAUAACAAGGGCAUGGUCCUAGAGUGAUAACUAUGCACGUGUAUCAGAAAAUGAGAAGAAAUGAAGAAGAAGAAAGCAGUAACUUCAUUACAUCAACACAACCACAUAAUACACAUUCAGGGAGCCUAAAUGCCGUUUUACUUGAGAAAAUGUUUCUAUCUUCAAUUUUUCCUUUUACCAAGGUUUUAAAUAACGGUAUGUGACCAUAGUUUCAUCUGUAACUUCAAGGUUUGAGUUAUUCACGAUCACAAUGUGCAUUGGCAGCAUUUGUCUUCAAUUUCUCACAAUAUCAAGUUUGUGAUGAAAUUGCGAAGUGACUACAAUUUAAAACCUUGUGUUUUACUAGUAAUUACAAAGAAGUCUCAUUGUUUAUAAUUGUACAAGUUGUUUUUACUAUUUA